AUGAAGAGGAUGCAUGACAGGCGAAGCUUCUUCUGGCCAGCCGCCGCGCUCCAGAAUUCAACGGCCAAGACUAGUGCAGGCUUAAAUUGUUCCAUAAAACGGCGGCACUCGGCGCCUCGGCUCAUUCAUCCAACCAUGUCCACGCUGAGAGCGCGGUGUGCGACGGCCAUCCUGGCCGUCGUCCUGGCGGCGGCCGCGGUCGCGCCGGCCACGGCCGAGCAGUGCGGCUCGCAAGCCGGCGGCGCCAGGUGCGCCGACUGCCUGUGCUGCAGCCAGUUCGGGUUCUGCGGCACCACCUCCGACUACUGCGGCCCCCGCUGCCAGAGCCAGUGCACUGGCUGCGGCGGCGGCGGCGGCGGGGUGGCCUCCAUCGUGUCCAGGGACCUCUUCGAGCGGUUCCUGCUCCAUCGCAACGACGCGGCGUGCCUGGCCCGCGGGUUCUACACGUACGACGCCUUCUUGGCCGCCGCCGGCGCGUUCCCGGCCUUCGGCACCACCGGAGACCUGGACACGCGGAAGCGGGAGGUGGCCGCCUUCUUCGGCCAGACCUCUCACGAGACCACCGGCGGGUGGCCCACCGCGCCCGACGGCCCCUUCUCAUGGGGCUACUGCUUCAAGCAGGAGCGGGGCUCGCCACCGAGCUACUGCGACCAGAGCGCCGACUGGCCGUGCGCACCCGGCAAGCAGUACUAUGGCCGCGGCCCCAUCCAGCUCACCCACAACUACAACUACGGACCAGCGGGCCGUGCGAUCGGGGUGGACCUGCUGAACAAUCCGGACCUGGUGGCCACGGACCCGACGGUGGCGUUCAAGACGGCGAUAUGGUUCUGGAUGACGACGCAGUCCAACAAGCCGUCGUGCCAUGACGUGAUCACGGGGCUGUGGACUCCGACGGCCAGGGAUAGCGCGGCCGGACGGGUGCCCGGGUAUGGUGUCAUCACCAACGUCAUCAACGGCGGGAUCGAAUGCGGCAAGGGGCAGAACGACAAGGUGGCCGAUCGGAUCGGGUUCUACAAGCGCUAUUGCGACAUCUUUGGCAUCGGCUACGGGAAUAACCUCGACUGCUACAACCAAUUGUCGUUCAACAUUGGGCUCGCGGCACAGUGA
RNAcentral lists this ribosomal RNA (1107 nucleotides) under Triticum aestivum (bread wheat). RNAcentral describes it as "partial small subunit ribosomal RNA". Lineage: Eukaryota; Viridiplantae; Streptophyta; Magnoliopsida; Poales; Poaceae. The record is from RNAcentral.